Molecule: long non-coding RNA, 260 nt
Filed under: Homo sapiens (human)
Lineage: Eukaryota; Metazoa; Chordata; Mammalia; Primates; Hominidae
Description: HSALNT0099828
Source: RNAcentral
UCACGUCAUUCUCUGUGAUCAGAACUCUACUGGGAGAAUAGGAUUGCCCACUCUUCUUACAGAACAUCUUCCUAGAGCUUAACCUAGCCAGCACCGCCAGCUGCAGUCCGUUCAACCCAGCUCGGGCGUCACCGUCACUGAGGUGCCUAAAUCCUGAAGCUUUCUACACAUUGGGUAAUACUGGAAUUUGGAGGAUACUACUUAGACAGCUGGAUAUGUAAGUUGGAGAAGGAGUGCAGUAAGUAAAAAUGUACCUGUUA